UGGGAGACUCAAAACCCUGUUCAACUCUCUCUGGGCUAGCUGCUCCCCUCCCCAAGAGGAUUUCUCUCCAGAGCUGGUAUCAUCGCUUAAUGAUGUUCCACCAACAAGGGGAAGAUUCAGCCAUGUCUUCCUAGGAUCCAGCAUCCAAACCUGGACCAAAGUCCUCGGAUCCUCAGCAAUGGGGGUGCAUCUGGUGAUGGUGUUCAUGCUAAAUUUGUGCCAAGAGACACCUGUACUUGUGGGAGAAUUAAUAUUUCACUUCUGUUUAGGUUUCUUUUCUGGGAGCUGCUAUCACUGAAUACAUAAAGAAAUUGAGCCUAUAUGAUUUCAAUCUUCACCUUCUGAUGCUGAUGAAACAGGAUUCUAUGCAGAGAAAAUCCUCUCCAGUCAAGUAAUUGCAUCCAUUUCAUCUUCCCAGCCCUCCUCUAGAUGGGAGGUGGAGGUGUGUGUACCAAUCUCUUAAUUCAGAAAUGAGACAAGAGGAGGAAAAAGGAGUUCCGGAGGUGUGUGAUCCAAGUCUGGCUGCAGGCUAUGGACAUUCCAGGAGGGAGACUCCAUCAGAGAAGUGGAGCUGGAGUUGGGUGUUAGAGGGUAAAGGGAGGGUUUGAACAGGCAAGGGAUGGGGGAGGAGUGCCUUACAGUGGGAGAGGGAGAGGCUGCUUGAAAAAGCAUAGAGCUGUGAGUGAGCAUGCGUGCCCAAGGAGAGGGAGCCAGGCACUGCCAGGGUGCAGGUGGGGCAGACUGGCUAGGUGUGUGGCCAGGGUGUGGAAGG
This 772-nucleotide long non-coding RNA is filed under the name Homo sapiens (human). RNAcentral describes it as "non-protein coding lnc-ATAD2B-12:3". Lineage: Eukaryota; Metazoa; Chordata; Mammalia; Primates; Hominidae. The record is from RNAcentral.